This 1286-nucleotide ribosomal RNA is filed under the name metagenome. RNAcentral describes it as "bacterial SSU rRNA". It matches the Rfam family "Bacterial small subunit ribosomal RNA", at positions 242 to 1520 of the family's 1533-position model. The record is from RNAcentral.
UAGCUAGUUGGUGAGGUAAAGGCUUACCAAGGCGACGAUCUGUAGCGGGUCUGAGAGGAUGAUCCGCCACACUGGAACCGAGACACGGUCCAGACUCCUACGGGAGGCAGCAGUGGGGAAUUUUGACAAUGGGGGCAACCCUGAUCCAGCCAUGCCGCGUGAGUGAAGAAGGCCUUCGGGUUGUAAAGCUCUUUCGGCCGGGAAGAAAUCGCAUGGGCCAAUACCCUGUGUGGAUGACGGUACCGGAAUAAGAAGCACCGGCUAACUACGUGCCAGCAGCCGCGGUAAUACGUAGGGUGCGAGCGUUAAUCGGAAUUACUGGGCGUAAAGCGUGCGCAGGCGGUUUUGUAAGACAGGCGUGAAAACCCCGGGCUUAACCUGGGAACUGCGUUUGUGACUGCAAGGCUAGAGUACGGCAGAGGGGGGUGGAAUUCCACGUGUAGCAGUGAAAUGCGUAGAGAUGUGGAGGAACACCAAUGGCGAAGGCAGCCCCCUGGGUCGAUACUGACGCUCAUGCACGAAAGCGUGGGUAGCAAACAGGAUUAGAUACCCUGGUAGUCCACGCCCUAAACUAUGUCAACUAGGUGUUGGGUGGGUAAAACCAUUUAGUACCGUAGCUAACGCGUGAAGUUGACCGCCUGGGGAGUACGGCCGCAAGGUUAAAACUCAAAGGAAUUGACGGGGACCCGCACAAGCGGUGGAUGAUGUGGAUUAAUUCGAUGCAACGCGAAAAACCUUACCUACCCUUGACAUGCCAGGAACUUGCCAGAGAUGGCUUGGUGCCCGAAAGGGAGCCUGGACACAGGUGCUGCAUGGCUGUCGUCAGCUCGUGUCGUGAGAUGUUGGGUUAAGUCCCGCAACGAGCGCAACCCUUGUCGUUAAUUGCCAUCAUUUAGUUGGGCACUUUAACGAGACUGCCGGUGACAAACCGGAGGAAGGUGGGGAUGACGUCAAGUCCUCAUGGCCCUUAUGGGUAGGGCUUCACACGUCAUACAAUGGUCGGUACAAAGGGUUGCCAAGCCGCGAGGCGGAGCCAAUCCCAGAAAGCCGAUCGUAGUCCGGAUUGCAGGCUGCAACUCGCCUGCAUGAAGUCGGAAUCGCUAGUAAUCGUGGAUCAGCAUGUCACGGUGAAUACGUUCCCGGGUCUUGUACACACCGCCCGUCACACCAUGGGAGCGGGUUCCGCCAGAAGUAGGUAGCCUAACCGCAAGGGGGGCGCUUACCACGGCGGGGUUCGUGACUGGGGUGAAGUCGUAACAAGGUAGCCGUAGGGGAACCUGCGGCUG